Molecule: non-coding RNA, 118 nt
Filed under: Streptomyces tsukubensis
Lineage: Bacteria; Bacillati; Actinomycetota; Actinomycetes; Kitasatosporales; Streptomycetaceae
Source: RNAcentral
GACAACUGCAUAGCCGUGUGUCCUGGGGGAAGCCGGUGCGAAUCCGGCGCUGACCUGCAACCGUGUGCGGUGCCUCGUGCCGCGAGUCGGGAUGCCCAGCACACGGCCGGUUCCGCUU